Molecule: long non-coding RNA, 1190 nt
Organism: Gasterosteus aculeatus aculeatus (three-spined stickleback)
Lineage: Eukaryota; Metazoa; Chordata; Actinopteri; Perciformes; Gasterosteidae
Source: Ensembl
GAGGUUAGCCGGCUGAUAUUAAAGCUUUGGCCUUGGAUCAACAUAUCUGGGAGGACUCGAGGAUAACGGAUUAACGCGCCGUCCCCUCAUGCAGCAACGUGACCUGAGGCGGGAGGGUUUGGCGGAGGCAAUAAGGCAGAAAAUCUAAUACAGUGGCGCGGGCUGUCCCACCGGGCUAAGCUGCCUCCAACAGCGGAGGGAGGCGCCUCCUCUUCUCUUCUUUUAUUCCUCCUUCAUAUUCGGGCCAGCUCCUUCCCCUCUGUCUUCCUCCCUUCUUUUCCCCACGUCGGGCUUACACAGGUACAUAAAGCGAUAAGCUGCGAGUCCUGUCCGGCCGCGACUAUAACCAAAUUGCAGCAGUUUUAUUGGGCAGCUUUGCCAGAGCAGUAACCCUUUUUUUUUCCGCCUGGAGGAAUACAGAGUCAGCUAUUUGUUUGGCCGCUUGCAUACUCAACCCAACCGCCGCCGCGCUCCUCGGCCUGCUCCCACUGUCCACCCCCGCCUCUGUCCACCCGUUUGUUUUCCCAAUACAUCAACCCACCACCCACCCUGGAGGAUACACAGCUCACGUACACACCUCUAGAUGGUUUAGUGCCUGGCUGUGCCCAGACGGGUACGGUUCAAUAGCUCUGAGCCAAAGAAAUAACACUGUCGACUUUCUGCUGAAUCGCAGGCGUUGACGUCCGCGCCCUGCACAGCCGUGGACGCCGACGGCCGCGCGGGAUCGUCUGCGCCCAUGAACAGCUGACUGCACAGUGAACUCCGCGGCCCUCCGGGGGAGGGGGGCACGAGUCCACCACCUCGGCCUCUGGGAGUCUCGGGCACUCAGCCGCCCCCGAGCACACCUGCGGCGAGAAGACGCCGGCGUGCGGGUGGAACGGGGACGCUGAUUACCGAGAGCUCCUCGGCGACGGGCCGGUCAAAGAGAAGCCACGUCUCCGUGCACAUCCGUAAUGGCCGUGAAACCUUCAGUAAACUGCAGCGAGGGGUCAAAUCCAUCCAGGUGUCACAAAAGAGCUCCGCUAGGUUUGACACUCGGUCGAGAUGAUUUGCUCUCAGCUACACAGAAUGCACCAGGAUCAGCAAAAUGUUUUGCCAAGUGAUGAGAUCGAGCGAGUUGAACGAGCCACUGAUGGACGGACGUGGAAAGAGCAGAGAGGGAAAAUAAAAAAAACACUGUUGGUACAGUC